Non-coding RNA from Galeopterus variegatus (Sunda flying lemur), 363 nucleotides. Lineage: Eukaryota; Metazoa; Chordata; Mammalia; Dermoptera; Cynocephalidae. The record is from the annotation of a RefSeq genome assembly.
AUGGACAUGAGGGCCCCCGCUCAGCUCCUGGGGAUCAUGCUUCUCUGGCUUCCAGGUGCCAGAUGUGACAUCCAGUUGACCCAGUCUCCAUCCUCCCUGUCUGCAUCUGUAGGAGACAGAGUCACCAUCACUUGCCAGGCCAGUCAGAACAUUUACAGUAAUUUACACUGGUAUCAGCAAAAACCAGGGAAAGUCUCUACGCUCUUGAUCUAUACAGCAUCCAAUUUACAAAGCGGGGUCCCAACCAGGUUCAGUGGCAGCGGAUCAGGGACAGAUUAUUCUCUCAUCAUCAGCAGCCUGGAGGCUGAUGAUGUUGGAACUUAUUACUGUCAACAAGGUUAUAGUGACCCUCCCACAGUGUGA